CGCAGUGACUUGCUUCGACUUUGUCAGCUUCCAGGGUUCAUUCCACUGCCCAAAUAUGUAGUGAGUUACUACCGGCUUUGCUUCCUCCUUCAGCAAACGGCUGGACCACACAACUUCAGGAGAGAGGAUUUUAAAUGUUAGGGUCAUUUUCCCUAAAACGAUUUCAAAUGACGUCUCUUUAUCUAUAGGUAACCCAGCUUAAAACAACUGCGGUUGGCCCGGGAUCCUCACUGCCCUUUGCCAAGUACCAGAGAAAGAUAAGGCCUACUAGGAACCAGAGAAAACCAGAACCAGCCACCCCUUGUUACUUUUAGAUCAUUAAUACAUCAUUAUAUGCUCAACUCCCGACCCGUAGAAGAGAAUCGCCGCCAUUUUCUGAUAGUGCAUUGUAUGAAGAGGCAUGUUUAUGAAAUGCACCUGUGCGUCUAGAGUUCCUCCCGGCAUAUGCUUGCAUACCUCCCCACUCCACAUCUAACGCCUUACAAUUCCCCAGCUUCCCAAAGCUCUGGAAGAAGGGGGUCUUUAGAGUGAAAGUUUACUCCUUCUCUAUUCCUGGCCAGGAAUGAAACCCGCUUGCCGUUUUUUCCAGUUGGUGUGCUUUCUUUGCAACUGAUACAGACUAGGAAAAGAACGCAAUUUACCAGUAACAGUAGAGCUGGGAUUUAAAUCUAAGUGCUUUGACUUCAAAGACAAGGUUCCAAGCUGCUACACAUACCAAUUCUCGUUAAAGUGUAUUCCAUUUCUUUUGUGCUUUCAUAUUGACCAUUGUGUGUUAAUCCUUUCAAUUGGAAGAAGAGGGAGACAGUGCCAGUUAUUGCAAACUUUCACAGUCCACAGGCCCGAUAUGUAGCCUUCACCACCCACAGGUUCUGCCACUUCUGGGGCAUUAUAUUCCAUCAAGAUCCAGGCACCCGCCAUCCACAUACCAGCCCUGGAACUCGUCCCUUCUCCCAGACUUGGAAACGCCACCUCUCCCUGACCAAUGUCGAGCCACUUCCUCAUCUUGAUACAUCAGCCACUAUCCUUUCCAUCUUUCAGGCAACUCCAGCUUAAUUUCUCGAUGGCCUUGCCCUUCUAAAAGGCCGUUCUCUUUUCCCAGAUGACUUUUUCCUAUCCCCUCCACAGUAACUCCCCUCAUCCUUCCAGUCUCAAUUCAAUUGUUCCUUGGUGGGGUGGGGCGGGGGGAGCCUUCUUAAACCCUCCUCCCUCACAACUGCAUGAGGUCCCUUGUCUCUAAUAUAAGCUCCUGUAGCACCAUGGCACUUAUCCCAGUUGAGAUUUUAAAUAUAUUUCUGUGUAUUUGAUUAAAGUUUCUCUCCUCCA
RNAcentral lists this long non-coding RNA (1323 nucleotides) under Homo sapiens (human). RNAcentral describes it as "HSALNT0332634". The record is from RNAcentral. Lineage: Eukaryota; Metazoa; Chordata; Mammalia; Primates; Hominidae.